CGCCAUCUUUUGGUAACAAAUAUGACCCCGUGCUGGGUUAAUAUGGUAGCCCCCAUGUCCAGUCCAUGAUGAUGACUUAGGAAUGGAGAUAGACUAAUAAAUUUCAUAUUUUACUUGUUCUUUAUCCAUAUUAAGGUACCACAGACCUAGCUGAGACCGUACACUCCAGCUGAUCCACUCAAGUUGCGGAGCUCUUCACUCCGUCGUACAUCCAAGCAUUGCAUUUAUCCGGUGACCAGACCCAGGGUCAACUUUGCACA
Long non-coding RNA from Priapulus caudatus, 260 nucleotides. RefSeq lists it as uncharacterized. The transcript has 3 exons. Lineage: Eukaryota; Metazoa; Priapulida; Priapulimorpha; Priapulimorphida; Priapulidae. The record is from RefSeq and is a predicted model, not a curated record.